ACACUCCUGCGGGAGGCAGCAGUGGGGAAUAUUGGACAAUGGGCGCAAGCCUGAUCCAGCCAUGCCGCGUGAGUGAUGAAGGCCCUAGGGUUGUAAAGCUCUUUUGUGCGGGAAGAUAAUGACGGUACCGCAAGAAUAAGCCCCGGCUAACUUCGUGCCAGCAGCCGCGGUAAUACGAAGGGGGCUAGCGUUGCUCGGAAUCACUGGGCGUAAAGGGUGCGUAGGCGGGUCUUUAAGUCAGGGGUGAAAUCCUGGAGCUCAACUCCAGAACUGCCUUUGAUACUGAAGAUCUUGAGUUCGGGAGAGGUGAGUGGAACUGCGAGUGUAGAGGUGAAAUUCGUAGAUAUUCGCAAGAACACCAGUGGCGAAGGCGGCUCACUGGCCCGAUACUGACGCUGAGGCACGAAAGCGUGGGGAGCAAACAGGAUUAGAAACCCGUGUAGUCCCAU
RNAcentral lists this ribosomal RNA (449 nucleotides) under uncultured organism. Its description in RNAcentral is "partial 16S ribosomal RNA". It matches the Rfam family "Bacterial small subunit ribosomal RNA", at positions 333 to 798 of the family's 1533-position model. The record is from RNAcentral.